UACAGAGGUCUCAAGCGUUGUUCGGAUUCAUUGGGCGUAAAGGGUGUGUAGGUGGCGCUGUAAGUCGGGUGUGAAAUUUCGGAGCUUAACUCCGAAACUGCAUUCGAUACUGCGGUGCUUGAGGACUGGAGAGGAGACUGGAAUUCAUGGUGUAGCAGUGAAAUGCGUAGAGAUCAUGAGGAAGACCAGUGGCGAAGGCGGGUCUCUGGACAGUUCCUGACACUGAGACACGAAGGCCAGGGGAGCAAACGGG
Molecule: ribosomal RNA, 253 nt
Filed under: uncultured bacterium
Lineage: Bacteria
Description: partial 16S ribosomal RNA
Rfam family: Bacterial small subunit ribosomal RNA
Source: RNAcentral